Molecule: non-coding RNA, 72 nt
Organism: Danio rerio (zebrafish)
Lineage: Eukaryota; Metazoa; Chordata; Actinopteri; Cypriniformes; Danionidae
Source: Rfam
GCAUUGGUGGUACAGUGGUAGAAUUCUAGCCUGCCACGCGGGAGACCCGGGUCCGAUUCCCAGGCCAAUGCA